This is a long non-coding RNA of Gallus gallus (chicken), 1850 nucleotides long. RefSeq lists it as uncharacterized. NCBI's taxonomy places the organism in Eukaryota, Metazoa, Chordata, Aves, Galliformes, Phasianidae. The record is from RefSeq and is a predicted model, not a curated record. The transcript is spliced from 3 exons.
UUGAACGCGGCGCGGCCCGGCAGCGCGCUGUAUAGGCCCCGGCCGCGCUCACCGUGCACUGCUACCUGCAGCACGGACCGCCGCCGCCACCGCCUCUCUGGCCGAGUCCCACUGCUCUGUCAGGCGGCGGCGGGAGGAGCGGUCCCGUCCCCGCCCCUCCGAGCUGGGCUCGGCAGAUCCUCUCGCCCGCCCGCUGGAGGCCGCCCAAGCGGCACGGGGCGGUGUUCCGGCGCCGGCGUGAAGAGUGCGAGUGUAACUUCUUUGUAAGGAAGUUAGAAAUUGGCGAUAGGACAAAGGGAAACGGCCACAAACUGAAGCCUAGGAACUUCUGCACAAAUGUGCGUAAGGACUUCACAGCAAGGGUGACGGAGCACUGGAACAGGCUGCACAGAGUGGCUGUGGAGUCUCCUUCUCUGGAGACAUUCAAGACCCGCCUGGAUGCUUACCUGUGCAACCUGGUCUAGGGAGCCUGCUUUGGCAACAGGGGGGUUGGACUAGAUGAUCUCUAGAGGUCCCUUCCAGCCCCUACAAUUCUGUCAUUCUGUGAAAUUCUCUGCUGAGUUCCUGACUCUUAGGAUCUCCCACUGUUCGUUUGUAUUAGUGGUGAAGUCCUGCUGCUUUACCAAAUGGCCUUUUGCUGACCAGUUGAAUGGAUGCUGCUGCAAAAGCACUGCUGAAAUCCACACUAAUACAUAAAUCCAUCACCGAAAAUACAGAACUAUUUCUGACAAAGCAUCUAGGUGCAGUGUCAGGCUGACCCUGCCUCCACAGCACACUUUCAGUGUCAGCUUUAUUCAGCCUAUGGUGCUGUCUUGCAAGGUACCCAAACCAGGCUGCUUCUUUCUAAUGAUGACACAGAUAAUGUUGGAUAGUAGGAAAAGAAUAUUCUUAGAAAGAGUGGUGAGGCUUUGGAACAGGCUGACCAGGGAAGCAGUGGUGUCACCGCUCUGGAGGUGUUCAAGAGGGUAGGUGUGGAACUGAAGGUUAUGGUUAGCAGGCAUGGUGGGGAUUGGUCAACAGCUAGACUUAGAGGUCUUUUCCAACCUUAAUGAUUCUUUGAUUCUAUGUUUCUGCACACUGGUUGGGCCAGCACAGGUACCUGGUUUCUUGUAUGGCAGAGACGGCCAGCAGCUGGAGCAGUUACUUACAGCUACAGAGCAAGUGACUGACAUUGUUGUGUAAAGGUUGCAACUAGGUAGUGGUUCCUAAAAACAAACAAACAGAACCCUCAACAACAAUAACAACAACAAAAACCAACCAACCAAAACAACAACAACAAAGACAAAAAAAAAAACCAACAAAAAAAACAACCAAACCUGCCUGAAAUAUGUAUCACUGUCAAAUGAUAACUAGUUAUAACUAUGUGCUUCACAUAUUAAUGAAGAAAUACUUAGUCAAUAAAAAAUCCUCCUCCAAAAAGUACUUUGUGUUCAUUUGGAAAUUCAUGAGGUGGCUCACGGAUUUAAAACUGCUUUUUCAUUUUACAGAAUACAGUGUCUGCCAUGGAGCUGGCAAUGUCUCCAGAGUACAAGAACUGUCAGCCAAUGCAGUGGUACACAUCCAACAUGCAACUGGGAUGCUGCCAGCGGGGCUGCAUGGGUGCUGAGACAUGCUCACAGAUCCCACAGGUGAAAUAACCUAUGGAUUAUUGCAAGAAGGAAGGAAAUGUCAGAGAACUCAUUCUGACUGCUUAAGUGGUUACAAGAAACAGAACGAAGAUGACUACACUCAAUGAAGUUGCAUGCUUGUGAUACUGGAGAAAUAGAUAGAUAAAUCUGGCACCAUCUUCCUCAGUUCAUGUGGAACAUACUGGGACAAAGAUAUCCAAGAACAGUGAAGACUAACAGGUA